RNAcentral lists this small RNA (81 nucleotides) under Flavobacterium frigoris. RNAcentral describes it as "Flavo-1 RNA". It matches the Rfam family "Flavo-1 RNA". Lineage: Bacteria; Pseudomonadati; Bacteroidota; Flavobacteriia; Flavobacteriales; Flavobacteriaceae. The record is from RNAcentral.
UUUUAGCUCUGAUUGCAACGAAAAUCCUUUUUAUUUUUUUCUUUAAAAAUAAAAAGAUUGUAGUGUAAAGCAGGACACGAG